This 3021-nucleotide unclassified non-coding RNA is filed under the name Hevea brasiliensis (rubber tree). Lineage: Eukaryota; Viridiplantae; Streptophyta; Magnoliopsida; Malpighiales; Euphorbiaceae. The record is from RNAcentral.
GAAAAUUAAAGAAAUUUAUUUGCAUAGGGAAGGUGAUUGGAAAACCUUGAAACAGUACACAUUUUCUGUUUAUACUCAUAACAUCGUUACAAACUUUAAAUGACAUCUGCAUCAGUGUAGCUCCAAAUACAAGAUACAGUUACAAAACCAAGUAUUGUCUCAUUCGUCAUCAACAUAUAUAGUUUCUUGCUGAAACAGUCCACCAAAUAGUUUCUUUACUUCUUUCUUUGACUCUGUCUCCUCGGCCUUUGGCUCCUCUCUUGGUUUCAAGGCAGGAAAUUUUGCGGUUGCUCCUUUAAAAACAGCUUUUUGGUAAGGGAGGGAACGAGCUUUGGCUUGUCCCCUGACAGAAGCAAUCUGCACUUUCGGUUUUUCUCCGUUUGUUGUCUGAACUGCAGUUGCGAUCUGGGAACUAAGUUUCUCCCAAGAAAAUCCUGCUCCGAUGUCUUUUGCUCUGCUCAAGAGGUUUUCCAUUGAAGUCCCAGCAGCCUCAGCCUUUUCCUGGGCUUCUUCAGCUAGACUAGCAGCUUUAGCUUCUUUCUCUGAAAGCUUUUUCACUUCUUCUUCAAGCUUCUUUGCUGUGUCGGCUGCUUCACGAGCUUUCUCAGCAGCUACCCUUGCUUCUUCCUCAGCUUUUGCCUUAGCAAGAGUUUCUGCAUAAACUUUUCUUCUUCCAUCUUCAGGAAUGGCACUAAAUGCAAUUUUAUAUAAGAUUAGCAGGCUCUUAUUUCAAGCAAUGCAAGAAGUUGAAAUUUAAUGAUAAGGAGAUAUCAGAACCACAAUUUACCUGAAAAGCUCCUCCACAGUCCUUGAGGGUGCUGAUGGUUUAGUAAAAACUUCCACCACCUGCUUUAGAAUAUAAGCAUAAACCAACCACAAUUUUUCAUGUCAUUUAGAAACCAGUAAAGCAAAGGUUUUGGGGUAUCCAUGGAAAAAGUUGUUCUGUUCUGCUACAACAUGUUAACCCAGUAGAAUAAAAACAAUUAUAAUUAAAUGUACCUUAUUUUCUGCCACUUCCGUAUUUGAGAAAACAUCAGCCACUAUGACUGCUAUCUGAGACCUUGCUAACUAGUAAAGAUAAUUCAUAGCAUAAAGAAGGAUAAGGAACACAAAUAAAAGGAAAGAUAAAAAAAAUUAUGCAUCCAGAAAAACAAAGAAUUAAAUUAAUGAAACAGAAAUAAUUGCAUACAUUACAUUACUUUGUAGUCGUUUGAACCAGUCCUUCCUUCAGCAGAUACAACAACAUUAUAAGAACUCUCGGGUGAAAAAUCUUCAGUCAAGCUUGUCUUAAUGAAAGUAUAGCUAACGUCUGUCUCGAUUACUUUCUGCAGGAACUCAGGUAUGGACAAUGGCUGAGAUUGUGAGAACAAGUUGUUAAAGAAUGAAGUGAAGCCAUCUAGGACAUUAUAAGUCGAAGCGCCAGCGGCAUUUGAAUCGUAGAUUAUUGCAACAUGGCCAACACCUGAUAGCUGAGCAGCCUGAAUUACUUUCAAGGCGUCAGAUGUAGAGACCUCAGAGGUAGGACCAUUCUCUGCAGGACCAAUUGUAACCACAACUUUGCUUGCAUUACCAAUUGCUUUGGCAAUUGAUUCUGCAUCUAUAAAAGUGGAUUGAACAGCGUUGAGACGUCUUGAUUCUUCCUUUGAUAUGAUCUGAGAUAUGUACAUAGCAUCAAGAAUUUAUAAACAUAAAAUUGAUAUGAUCUGUGAUGUGAAUGUAGCAUCAAUAAUAGAUAAACAUCAAAUAACACAUAUUAGCUUUCUAUCAGUAAGAGACUGUACGCUAAUUGCCACUGAAACGUAGGAAGAUUUUAUCAUCCCAUUUUCGGUGAGUACAACAAGCAACGUAAUAAUUAUCUGUGUACAUUAAAUAGAAUGCACUUUUCUUGGCAUAUUAUAUUACCCUUCUGUCAAUUCAAUCGAUAAGAUAAAAUUCACCCACAGCAGUAGCAAAAGGCAUUGAAAAUGCCAAAUAACAACUAUAUUUUCCUGCCGCAACAAAUUCAGAUUGAAUCACAACGUUACUAGUUGUUAAAGUUAGCUAACCUUGUACUCCGCCGCAAAACGAGCCAACUCCUGCGCAGCUUCUAGCUCUGGAACCCCAGCUCUAACCCUAAAACCUUCACGCAGUAAAGUUUGUGCAAUUCGAAUGCCUGCCUGGCCAGUAGCACCAGCCACAAACACAGUGCCAGGAUCCUUCCUUCUUGGAAACGACAAACCAGAAGCAGGCUCACUCACAACAGGUAUCAAGGACUUUACAUCAGGUACCUUGCCAAAGUUGAAACUAAAAGCACUCGAAUUGCCUGAACCAUUAGUUUCUGAAGCACUGUCAUCUUUAGGUUUGCCAAGCUGAAAUGGGGAGAAGGGUCCAGCUCUCUUGGCAAAGACUCUGAGUCUUGGGAUUCUGACAGUGUGUCUUGAAUGUGGUUUGGGGGUAAGGAGAAAUGAAUUGGAGGUGAGAGUUGGAGCCAUGAGGGGCACAAGAGAAGUUUCCAAAUGAUGACUCUCCCUUCCAAGUUUAUUGUUUUGAGAUUUUCUGGGAAUCUCACUAUAUCCAAUUGCCUUGCAUUUGCUGCCUGCGGCAAUUUUAGUAAUUUUGGUUUGGAUAUCAUCUAGAUGUGGAGGUAAGGGACGGCUAGCAAAUGGGCUAAAGCCACGUAUUCGUAGGUUAUCCACUUGAGAGAGUUGAACACCAGACGUUUUUGGUAGCGUAAUUUAGUGCGUUCAACCCCCUAGAAAAUGACAAGAAGCAGGGGCCUAUGCCAAAUUCAGACUUACCUUAUGGAAAUGCCUUGGGCCCAAUACAAACAGAGUCCAACAAGAAAAUAAAUAAUACAGAUACCAGCACCACCCAGUAACCUUACUCAAAAUAAGCAAGUCUCAAAUAACCAAAAGCUAGGAGGCUCAUUACCCAUGCCCAUGAUCCAAAAGAAACAAAACAACUCAAAUCAAAACAAAUGAAACCGGUUGACAAGAUAAAGAACCCUAACUAAAAGGACCCGAACCGCAUUUGCAAGAUCCA